This 72-nucleotide transfer RNA is filed under the name Stegodyphus mimosarum. It matches the Rfam family "tRNA". From Rfam's summary of the family: Transfer RNA (tRNA) molecules are approximately 80 nucleotides in length. Their secondary structure includes four short double-helical elements and three loops (D, anti-codon, and T loops). Further hydrogen bonds mediate the characteristic L-shaped molecular structure. tRNAs have two regions of fundamental functional importance: the anti-codon, which is responsible for specific mRNA codon recognition, and the 3' end, to which the tRNAs corresponding amino acid is attached (by aminoacyl-tRNA synthetases). tRNAs cope with the degeneracy of the genetic code in two manners: having more than one tRNA (with a specific anti-codon) for a particular amino acid; and 'wobble' base-pairing, i.e. permitting non-standard base-pairing at the 3rd anti-codon position. Lineage: Eukaryota; Metazoa; Arthropoda; Arachnida; Araneae; Eresidae. The record is from Rfam by way of RNAcentral.
GCCUCCGUGGUGUAGUGGUCAGCACGCUCGUCUCGUAUUCGAAGUUCCGCGGUUCGAGUCCCGGCGAGGGCA